Molecule: non-coding RNA, 72 nt
Organism: Ornithorhynchus anatinus (platypus)
Lineage: Eukaryota; Metazoa; Chordata; Mammalia; Monotremata; Ornithorhynchidae
Source: Rfam
AGCAGCGUGGCUUAGUGGAGAGAGCGCGGGCUUGAGAGUCAGAGGUCAUGGGUUCAAAUCCCGCCUCUGCCG